RNAcentral lists this ribosomal RNA (442 nucleotides) under uncultured bacterium. RNAcentral describes it as "partial 16S ribosomal RNA". It matches the Rfam family "Bacterial small subunit ribosomal RNA", at positions 338 to 795 of the family's 1533-position model. The record is from RNAcentral.
CCUACGGGCGGCAGCAGUGGGGAAUAUUGGGCAAUGGGCGCAAGCCUGACCCAGCAACGCCGCGUGAAGGAAGAAGGCCUUCGGGUUGUAAACUUCUUUUGGCAGGGAAGAGUAGAAGACGGUACCUGACGAAUAAGCUACGGCUAACUACGUGCCAGCAGCCGCGGUAAUACGGAGGGGGCAAGCGUUGUCCGGAGUUACUGGGUGUAAAGGGCGUGUAGCCGGGUUGACAAGUCAGAUGUGAAAUCCUGCGGCUUAACCGGAGAACUGCAUUUGAAACUGUUGAUCUUGAGUACUGGAGAGGCAGACGGAAUUCCUGGUGUAGCGGUGAAAUGCGUAGAUAUUAGGAGGAACACCAGUGGCGAAGGCGGUCUGCUGGACAGCAACUGACGGUGAGGCGCGAAAGCGUGGGGAGCAAACAGGAUUAGAUACCCGGGUAGUC